RNAcentral lists this ribosomal RNA (492 nucleotides) under uncultured bacterium. RNAcentral describes it as "partial 16S ribosomal RNA". It matches the Rfam family "Bacterial small subunit ribosomal RNA", at positions 29 to 507 of the family's 1533-position model. The record is from RNAcentral.
AGUGAACGCUGGCGGUAGGCCUAACACAUGCAAGUCGAACGGCAGCACAGUAAGAGCUUGCUCUUACGGGUGGCGAGUGGCGGACGGGUGAGGAAUACAUCGGAAUCUACUUUUUCGUGGGGGAUAACGUAGGGAAACUUACGCUAAUACCGCAUACGACCUACGGGUGAAAGCAGGGGAUCUUCGGACCUUGCGCGAUUGAAUGAGCCGAUGUCGGAUUAGCUAGUUGGCGGGGUAAAGGCCCACCAAGGCGACGAUCCGUAGCUGGUCUGAGAGGAUAAUCAGCCACAACGGAAACGAGAAACCGGCCAGACUCCUAAGGGAGGCAGGAGGGGGGAAUAUUGGACAAUGGGCGGAAGCCUGAUCCAGCCAUACCGGGGGGGUGAAGAAGGCCUUCGGGUUGUAAAGCCCUUUUGUUGGGAAAGAAAAGCAGCAGGUUAAUACCCCGCUGUUCUGACGGUACCCAAAGAAUAAGCACCGGCUAACUUCGUG